GACGAACGCUGGCGGCGUGCUUAACACAUGCAAGUCGAACGGAAAGGCCCUGCUUUUGUGGGGUGCUCGAGUGGCGAACGGGUGAGUAACACGUGAGUAACCUGCCCUUGACUUUGGGAUAACUUCAGGAAACUGGGGCUAAUACCGGAUAGGAGCUCCUGCUGCAUGGUGGGGGUUCGAAAGUUUCGGCGGUUGGGGAUGGACCCGCGGCUUAUCAGCUUGUUGGUGGGGUAGUGGCUUACCAAGGCUUUGACGGGUAGCCGGCCUGAGAGGGUGACCGGCCACAUUGGGACUGAGAUACGGCCCAGACUCCUACGGGAGGCAGCAGUGGGGAAUAUUGCACAAUGGGCGGAAGCCUGAUGCAGCAACGCCGCGUGCGGGAUGACGGCCUUCGGGUUGUAAACCGCUUUCGCCUGUGACGAAGCGUGAGUGACGGUAAUGGGUAAAGAAGCACCGGCUAACUACGUG
RNAcentral lists this ribosomal RNA (468 nucleotides) under uncultured bacterium. RNAcentral describes it as "partial 16S ribosomal RNA". It matches the Rfam family "Bacterial small subunit ribosomal RNA", at positions 28 to 507 of the family's 1533-position model. The record is from RNAcentral.